Molecule: ribosomal RNA, 739 nt
Filed under: uncultured fungus
Lineage: Eukaryota; Fungi
Description: eukaryotic LSU rRNA
Rfam family: 5.8S ribosomal RNA (bases 317-470)
Source: RNAcentral
CAUCACGAGAACCGUUAAUUUCUACCUCUGUGCAGAAUGAGCAGCAGCAAGAUAGAGUGAUUAGGAGGGUCUGCUUCCGGCGCCUGGCUCUAUUUGCUAUUUGCCCUGAAAGGCUUGCUUUUUGGCAGGCUCGUAGGUAAGCAUACUGUUGUAUCUGUCUCGUGGAGGCCCCGCUCAGCGUGCAACUCUCCUCCUAUGAAGUGCACGUUGGGUAACUUAUCUAACAAUUCUAACCCAUUUUUGCUAGUUGACUUUUAUAUGUUGUUCUUUGCUUCGGCAAGGUUCACACGUUUAAUUAUUUGAACGUUAAAAAUACAACUCUUAGCAAUGGAUAUCUAGGUUCUCGCAACGAUGAAGAACGCAGCGAAAUGCGAUACGUAAUGCGAAUUGCAGAAUUCAGUGAAUCAUCAAAUCUUUGAACGCAAAUUGCGCUCUUGGGUAGCCCUAGGAGCACGCCUCUCUCAGUAUCGGUUCAACAAUCUCUCAGCAGCGCUAUUGCAAAAUAGCGUGUUGGCUGGAAAAUGAGAGUCUGUGUGCUUUUGUCGCGCAGUCUCUUUAAAUACAUGGAGUGAGCAUUACAACUAACGAUCAGCUUUCGCCUCUCGGGGUGAAAUAGUCUAGUUUCGACUGUUGUUCGUGUAGUGACGUGAAUAUUGGCCCUCGUGGUCUAACUUUUACGUGUAUCUGCCGAAUGAUAAUUAAAAGUUGAGAUCAAGAUGAACGAUUGACCUAGUUUAUG